AACUACACUAUCAAUGAAUGGAUUCACCCGCAAGAUGACGCGGUUGUUUCACCAGGACGAGAAUGUGGCAUCAUAUUACCAGCCAUCGCACGAAAUUAAUAGGAUGCCACGUCUUCAUCCUAAAUGGAACAACCACAUCAUCUCACGGGUGAAUCCAUUCAUUGAUAAUGUGGUU
Oryza meridionalis is the source of this 175-nucleotide non-coding RNA. The record is from Rfam. Lineage: Eukaryota; Viridiplantae; Streptophyta; Magnoliopsida; Poales; Poaceae.